RNAcentral lists this ribosomal RNA (497 nucleotides) under uncultured bacterium. Its description in RNAcentral is "partial 16S ribosomal RNA". It matches the Rfam family "Bacterial small subunit ribosomal RNA", at positions 28 to 507 of the family's 1533-position model. The record is from RNAcentral.
GAUGAACGCUGGCGGCGUGCCUAAUACAUGCAAGUCGAGCGAACAGAUGAUGAGCUUGCUCCUCUGACGUUAGCGGCGGACGGGUGAGUAACACGUGCAUAACCUACCUCUAUGACUGGGAUAACUACGGGAAACCGGAGCUAAUACCGGCUCAUAUAUUCAACCGCAUGGUUCAAUAGUGAAUGACGGCUUUGCUGUCACUUAUAGAUGGUUCCGCGCCGCAUUAGCUAGUUGGUAAGGUAACGGCUUACCAAGGCAACGAUGCGUAGCCGACCUGAGAGGAUGAUCGGCCACACUGGAACUGAGACACGGUCCAGACUCCUACGGGAGGCAGCAGUAGGGAAUCUUCCGCAAUGGGCGAAAGCCUGACGGAGCAACGCCGCGUGAGUGAUGAAGGUCUUCGGAUCGUAAAGCUCUGUUAUUAGGGAAGAACAAAUGUAUAAGUAACUAUGCACGUCUUGACGGUACCUAAUCAGAAAGCAACGGCUAACUACGUG